Molecule: ribosomal RNA, 660 nt
Filed under: uncultured Lachnospiraceae bacterium
Lineage: Bacteria; Bacillati; Bacillota; Clostridia; Lachnospirales; Lachnospiraceae
Description: bacterial SSU rRNA
Rfam family: Bacterial small subunit ribosomal RNA
Source: RNAcentral
CACAUGCAAGUCGAACGGGAAACUUUUCAUUGAAGCUUCGGCAGAUUUGGUCUGUUUCUAGUGGCGGACGGGUGAGUAACGCGUGGGUAACCUGCCUUAUACAGGGGGAUAACAACCAGAAAUGGUUGCUAAUACCGCAUAAGCGCACAGGACCGCAUGGUCCGGUGUGAAAAACUCCGGUGGUAUAAGAUGGACCCGCGUUGGAUUAGCUAGUUGGCAGGGUAACGGCCUACCAAGGCGACGAUCCAUAGCCGGCCUGAGAGGGUGAACGGCCACAUUGGGACUGAGACACGGCCCAGACUCCUACGGGAGGCAGCAGUGGGGAAUAUUGCACAAUGGGGGAAACCCUGAUGCAGCGACGCCGCGUGAAGGAAGAAGUAUCUCGGUAUGUAAACUUCUAUCGGCAGGGAAGAUAGUGACGGUACCUGACUAAGAAGCCCCGGCUAACUACGUGCCAGCAGCCGCGGUAAUACGUAGGGGGCAAGCGUUAUCCGGAUUUACUGGGUGUAAAGGGAGCGUAGACGGACUGGCAAGUCUGAUGUGAAAGGCGGGGGCUCAACCCCUGGACUGCAUUGGAAACUGUUAGUCUUGAGUGCCGGAGAGGUAAGCGGAAUUCCUAGUGUAGCGGUGAAAUGCGUAGAUAUUAGGAGGAACACCAGU